AUGAAGACUCCCAUUGAGGUUCUCCUUAAUGAACAACCUGAUUAUACCUUUCUCAAGGUAUUUGGGUGUGCUUGCUGGCCGCAUCUUCGUCCAUAUAACAAGCGCAAGCUUGAGUUUCGUUCUAAGAAGUGUGUUUUUCUUGGCUAUAGCUCUCUUCAUAAAGGUUACAAAUGUCUUCAUGUUCCCACUAAUCGUGUCUAUAUAUCUCGGGACGUCGUGUUUGAUGAGCAUGUUUUUCCCUUUGCCAACCUUCCUGUGUCCACUGUCGAACCACCAUCCCUGCAUUCAUCCUCUGUUGCUUCUGACCAAUUUGAUGAUGUUGCAUACUCUCCUUUGCUGUUACCUAACCAUGGUGCAGGAACCGGACGUGGAGCUCGUUUGGAGCUGUUGGAGGAUUCACCAUCAUCAUCGUCGUCUUCUGGUGGGCACGUCGAUCGCCCUAUGUUGCAUGGCAUCAAUUCGCGUGCCCAUGCAUGGUCACCCGACGAGCCCGUCGCGCCGAGCAUCUCCACUGCUCGGUCCGUUUCGCCAGCGGCCGCCGAGUCGCCCGCGGCUCGGCCCGUCACGCCGUCUUCGCCUGCGGCUCGGCCCGUCACGCCGUCUUCGCCCGCGGCUCGGGUCCUCACGUCGCCUUCAUCAGCGGAUCAGCCCGCGACACCGGCCGCGCCACGGCCCAUUAUGCCGAGCUCGCCAUCGGCCCGGUCUGUGAUGCCGGAGUCGCCAGCUGCUUCGUCUGCUCUGCCGGUUUCGCCGGUGGGUCGGCCUUCUUCGCCAACCGAGUCCGAGGCUACCGUGACUGGCUCCUCGUCACCGGCUGACUCGUCAACGUCGCCGUCCUCCAACCCGUUGCAGGCUGCUCCGUCGACCUCGGUGGUUCCUGUGUCCCGACCACAUACACGCAGUCGCAGUGGCAUUUUCAAACCUAAGGAACGUAAGGAUGGUACGGUUGCUUGGUUGGCUGCUUGUUUGGCUGCUGCUGUUGCGGAUCCAUCUUCUGAGCCUCGCUCAUAUCAGGCUGCCCUGCGCAUUCCACAUUGGCGAGAGGCUAUGGAGCAGGAGUUUCAUGCUCUUCUUCGUAACAAGACAUGGACUCUCGUUCCUCCCCCACCACGGGUAAAUGUUAUUGACUCAAAAUGGGUAUUCAAAGUGAAGAAGCAUUCGGAUGGAUCUAUUGAGCGUUACAAAGCGCGACUUGUUGCUCGCGGUUUUCGACAGCGUCAUGGUCUUGACUAUGAGGACACCUUCAGUCCUGUCGUCAAGCCUACCACUAUUCGGCUUCUUCUCUCCAUUGCUGUUUCUCGUGGUUGGUCACUUCGUCAACUUGAUGUGCAGAAUGCUUUUCUACAUGGAUUUUUGGAGGAAGAGGUUUAUAUGAAACAGCCGCCUGGUUUCUCUGAUCCUGAUCGUCCUGACUAUAUCUGUCGUCUUUCCAAAGCACUAUAUGGUUUGAAGCAAGCUCCUCGUGCCUGGCAUGCCCGCCUUGCCUCUGCCCUUCGUGCUCAUGGGUUUGUGCCGUCUACUGCUGACACUUCGUUAUUUCUUCUACAGAAGCCAGAAGUCACUAUGUAUCUUUUGGUAUAUGUCGAUGAUAUUAUCCUUGUCAGCUCUUCUCAGUAUGCUGCUGAUGCUCUUGUCUGCUCUCUUGGUGCUGAUUUUGCGGUCAAAGAUCUUGGGAAGCUUCACUACUUUCUUGGAGUUGAGGUCACUUCUCGUACUACUGGUCUUGUCCUUACGCAGAAGAAGUACUCCUUGGAGUUGUUACAGAGAGCUGGCAUGCUGAAGUGCAAACCGACCACCACACCCAUGUCGUCUACCGACAAGAUAACAGCUGUUGAUGGUGAGCUUUUGUCUCCUGCGGAUGCCACAGAGUACAGGAGCAUUGUUGGUGGACUUCAGUACUUGACGAUCACGAGACCAGAUAUCUCUUAUGCUGUUAACAGGGUUUGUCAGUAUCUUCAGGCUCCCAGAAAUACUCAUUGGGCUGCUGUUAAACGCAUUCUUCGUUAUGUUCAGUUCACCCUGACAUUUGGUAUGCAUAUUCGGCCGACUUCCUCUCGGGUCCUUUCGGCCUUCUCUGAUGCAGAUUGGGCUGGUAGCCCAGAUGACAGGCGAUCCACGGGGGGUUAUGCAGUAUUCUUUGGCUCUAAUUUGAUCGCCUGGAGUGCUCGGAAACAGGCUACUAUGUCACGUAGCAGUACUGAAGCUGAGUACAAGGCUGUGGCUAAUGCUACUGCAGAGAUUAUUUGGGUGCAGUCUUUGCUUCAGGAGUUGGGUUUGUCUCAACCACAGCCUCCUAUUCUUUGGUGUGAUAACAUCGGUGCUACAUACCUUUCUGCAAAUCCAGUAUUUCAUGCCCGAAUGAAACACAUUGAAGUUGACUAUCACUUUGUACGGGAACGUGUAUCACAGAAGCAACUCCAGAUCAAGUUUAUCUCAUCUAAGGAUCAACUUGCAGACAUCUUCACUAAGCCUUUACCGCUGCCACAGUUUGAGGUUUGUAGGCGCAAUCUUACCCUUCUCAGUUCUUUAGAAAGUGGCUAA
RNAcentral lists this ribosomal RNA (2541 nucleotides) under Triticum aestivum (bread wheat). RNAcentral describes it as "partial small subunit ribosomal RNA". Lineage: Eukaryota; Viridiplantae; Streptophyta; Magnoliopsida; Poales; Poaceae. The record is from RNAcentral.